GACGUAGGGGGCGAGCGUUGUCCGGAUUCAUUGGGCGUAAAGAGCACGCAGGCGGUUUGGCAAGUCGGAUGUGAAAACCCGGAGCUCAACUCCGGACCUGCAUCCGAAACUGCCCGACUAGAGGUAGGUAGGGGAGAGCGGAAUUCCUGGUGUAGCGGUGAAAUGCGCAGAUAUCAGGAGGAACACCGGUGGCGAAGGCGGAUCGCUGGGCCGAUACUGACGCUGAGGAGCGAAAGCAUGGGGAGCGAACAGG
Molecule: ribosomal RNA, 253 nt
Filed under: uncultured bacterium
Lineage: Bacteria
Description: partial 16S ribosomal RNA
Rfam family: Bacterial small subunit ribosomal RNA
Source: RNAcentral